UAACCCUACGGGACGCAGCAGUAGGGAAUCUUCCACAAUGGACGAAAGUCUGAUGGAGCAACGCCGCGUGAGUGAAGAAGGGUUUCGGCUCGUAAAGCUUUGUUGGUAGGGAAGAAAGAUAGAGGGAGUAACUUGCCUUUAUUUGACGGUAAUUACUUAGAAAGUCACGGCUAACUACGUGCCAGCAGCCCCGGUAAUACGUAGGUGGCAAGCGUUUUCCGGAUUUAUUGGGCGUAAAG
This 239-nucleotide ribosomal RNA is filed under the name uncultured bacterium. RNAcentral's name for it is "partial 16S ribosomal RNA". It matches the Rfam family "Bacterial small subunit ribosomal RNA", at positions 334 to 565 of the family's 1533-position model. The record is from RNAcentral.